Molecule: ribosomal RNA, 460 nt
Filed under: uncultured bacterium
Lineage: Bacteria
Description: partial 16S ribosomal RNA
Rfam family: Bacterial small subunit ribosomal RNA
Source: RNAcentral
CCUACGGGAGGCAGCAGUGAGGAAUAUUGGUCAAUGGACGAGAGUCUGAACCAGCCAAGUAGCGUGAAGGAUGACUGCCCUAUGGGUUGUAAACCUCUUUUAUAUGGGAAUAAAACAGGGUAUGCAUACCCUCAUGUAUGUACCAUAUGAAUAAGGAUCGGCUAACUCCGUGCCAGCAGCCGCGGUAAUACGGAGGAUCCGAGCGUUAUCCGGAUUUAUUGGGUUUAAAGGGAGCGUAGGUGGAUUGUUAAGUCAGUUGUGAAAGGUUGGGGCUCAACCGUAGGAGUGCAGUUGAAACUGGCAGUCUGGAGUACAGUAGAGGUAGGCGGAAUGCGUGGUGUAGCGGUGAAAUGCUUAGAUAUCAGGAAGAACUCCGAUUGCGAAGGCAGCUGACUGGACUGCAACUGACGCUGAGGCUCGAAAGUGUGGGUAUCAAACAGGAUUAGAUACCCGAGUAGUC